GGUUAAGCGACUAAGCGUACACGGUGGAUGCCCUGGCAGUCAGAGGCGAUGAAGGACGUGCUAAUCUGCGAAAAGCGUCGGUAAGGUGAUAUGAACCGUUAUAACCGGCGAUGUCCGAAUGGGGAAACCCAGUGCAAUUCGUUGCACUAUCGUUAACUGAAUACAUAGGUUAACGAGGCGAACCGGGGGAACUGAAACAUCUAAGUACCCCGAGGAAAAGAAAUCAACCGAGAUUCCCCCAGUAGCGGCGAGCGAACGGGGAGCAGCCCAGAGUCUGAAUCAGCUUGUGUGUUAGUGGAACGGUCUGGAAAGUCCGACGGUACAGGGUGAUAGUCCCGUACACCAAAAUGCACAGGUUGUGAACUCGAAGAGUAGGGCGGGACACGUGGUAUCCUGUCUGAAUAUGGGGGGACCAUCCUCCAAGGCUAAAUACUCCUGACUGACCGAUAGUGAACCAGUACCGUGAGGGAAAGGCGAAAAGAACCCCGGCGAGGGGAGUGAAAAAGAACCUGAAACCGUGUACGUACAAGCAGUGGGAGCACCUUCGGGUGUGACUGCGUACCUUUUGUAUAAUGGGUCAGCGACUUAUAUUCUGUAGCAAGGUUAACCGUAUAGGGGAGCCGCAGGGAAACCGAGUCUUAACUGGGCGUUAAGUUGCAGGGUAUAGACCCGAAACCCGGUGAUCUAGCCAUGGGCAGGUUGAAGGUUGGGUAACACUAACUGGAGGACCGAACCGACUAAUGUUGAAAAAUUAGCGGAUGACUUGUGGCUGGGGGUGAAAGGCCAAUCAAACCGGGAGAUAGCUGGUUCUCCCCGAAAGCUAUUUAGGUAGCGCCUCGUGAACUCAUCUUCGGGGGUAGAGCACUGUUUCGGCUAGGGGGUCAUCCCGACUUACCAACCCGAUGCAAACUACGAAUACCGAAGAAUGUUAUCACGGGAGACACACGGCGGGUGCUAACGUCCGUCGUGAAGAGGGAAACAACCCAGACCGCCAGCUAAGGUCCCAAAGUCAUGGUUAAGUGGGAAACGAUGUGGGAAGGCACAGACAGCCAGGAUGUUGGCUUAGAAGCAGCCAUCAUUUAAAGAAAGCGUAAUAGCUCACUGGUCGAGUCGGCCUGCGCGGAAGAUGUAACGGGGCUAAACCAUGCACCGAAGCUGCGGCAGCGACACUAUGUGUUGUUGGGUAGGGGAGCGUUCUGUAAGCCUGCGAAGGUGACCUGUGAGGGUUGCUGGAGGUAUCAGAAGUGCGAAUGCUGACAUAAGUAACGAUAAAGCGGGUGAAAAGCCCGCUCGCCGGAAGACCAAGGGUUCCUGUCCAACGUUAAUCGGGGCAGGGUGAGUCGACCCCUAAGGCGAGGCCGAAAGGCGUAGUCGAUGGGAAACAGGUUAAUAUUCCUGUACUUGGUGUUACUGCGAAGGGGGGACGGAGAAGGCUAUGUUAGCCGGGCGACGGUUGUCCCGGUUUAAGCAUGUAGGCUGGUUGUCCAGGCAAAUCCGGAUAAUCAAGGCUGAGGUGUGAUGACGAGGCACUACGGUGCUGAAGUAACAAAUGCCCUGCUUCCAGGAAAAGCCUCUAAGCAUCAGGUAACAUCAAAUCGUACCCCAAACCGACACAGGUGGUCAGGUAGAGAAUACCAAGGCGCUUGAGAGAACUCGGGUGAAGGAACUAGGCAAAAUGGUGCCGUAACUUCGGGAGAAGGCACGCUGGUGUGUAGGUGAAGCCCCUGCGGGUGGAGCUGAGACCAGUCGAAGAUACCAGCUGGCUGCAACUGUUUAUUAAAAACACAGCACUGUGCAAACACGAAAGUGGACGUAUACGGUGUGACGCCUGCCCGGUGCCGGAAGGUUAAUUGAUGGGGUUAUCCGUAAGGAGAAGCUCUUGAUCGAAGCCCCGGUAAACGGCGGCCGUAACUAUAACGGUCCUAAGGUAGCGAAAUUCCUUGUCGGGUAAGUUCCGACCUGCACGAAUGGCGUAAUGAUGGCCAGGCUGUCUCCACCCGAGACUCAGUGAAAUUGAACUCGCUGUGAAGAUGCAGUGUACCCGCGGCAAGACGGAAAGACCCCGUGAACCUUUACUAUAGCUUGACACUGAACAUUGAGCCUUGAUGUGUAGGAUAGGUGGGAGGCUUUGAAGCGUGGACGCCAGUCUGCGUGGAGCCAACCUUGAAAUACCACCCUUUAAUGUUUGAUGUUCUAACGUUGGCCCCUGACCGGGGUUGCGGACAGUGUCUGGUGGGUAGUUUGACUGGGGCGGUCUCCUCCCAAAGCGUAACGGAGGAGCACGAAGGUUAGCUAAUCCUGGUCGGACAUCAGGAGGUUAGUGCAAUGGCAUAAGCUAGCUUGACUGCGAGCGUGACGGCGCGAGCAGGUGCGAAAGCAGGUCAUAGUGAUCCGGUGGUUCUGAAUGGAAGGGCCAUCGCUCAACGGAUAAAAGGUACUCCGGGGAUAACAGGCUGAUACCGCCCAAGAGUUCAUAUCGACGGCGGUGUUUGGCACCUCGAUGUCGGCUCAUCACAUCCUGGGGCUGAAGUAGGUCCCAAGGGUAUGGCUGUUCGCCAUUUAAAGUGGUACGCGAGCUGGGUUUAGAACGUCGUGAGACAGUUCGGUCCCUAUCUGCCGUGGGCGCUGGAGAAUUGAGGGGGGCUGCUCCUAGUACGAGAGGACCGGAGUGGACGCAUCACUGGUGUUCGGGUUGUCAUGCCAAUGGCACUGCCCGGUAGCUAAAUGCGGAAGAGAUAAGUGCUGAAAGCAUCUAAGCACGAAACUUGCCCCGAGAUGAGUUCUCCCUGAGACUUUAAGUCUCCUGAAGGAACGUUAAAGACGAUGACGUUGAUAGGCCGGGUGUGUAAGCGCAGCGAUGCGUUGAGCUAACCGGUACUAAUGAACCGUGAGGCUUAACCUU
RNAcentral lists this ribosomal RNA (2902 nucleotides) under Klebsiella pneumoniae. RNAcentral's name for it is "23S ribosomal RNA". It matches the Rfam family "Bacterial large subunit ribosomal RNA". Lineage: Bacteria; Pseudomonadati; Pseudomonadota; Gammaproteobacteria; Enterobacterales; Enterobacteriaceae. The record is from RNAcentral.